GCUGGAGUACUUAGACAGUAAGGAAGGAACCCAACUUCAGCAAGGGCACUUGUAGGAUAGCUGGAGAGGCCCAAGGGGCUCCACAUUGAAUGGGGAAGGGGUGCUGGUGCAUUCAAAAGCCAAAAAAAGAGUUUUAUUUCUAAACUGAAGGCCCCUCCUGGCACUGCGCAUGGAACACCUCACUGCUGCGGCUGAGGCUGCACAAUGGUGCAUCCAGGAGCAAAAUCUGUAGUACUAGAAGAGCCAGGCAAGGAGCGUUUGAGUACAGAGCUAGGUGCUUACACCCACCUCAGACAGGAGCAGACCCCAGGCUGGCACCUUGAAGCAGAGCUGCCACGUGGGCUCCAGGCUCCGUUUGUUGUCUUUGUGGCAGCUGCAGUGGUGUAUUCGGAGUCUGUGCUGAGACGCGAUUGCGAGGGAUUUCAGACAGCCCCCUUCUGGGCAGGAAGUUUCACAAUUCCAGAGCAAAAGACACAGUACGGAAAAAUGAAAAAGCUUUUUAGUUUUCCUUCCUCAGCCUGCCGUAUCAGGAGACAACCCUAAGCACAGUAAGUGCAAAGUCAAGAUCUUUGUCGUGUUUUAAAGAACACAAGAAUUUCUUACAAGUGUACGGAAUUUAGCCUUCCCUACCCCCAGUGCAAAGACCAACCUUUGCAGGUGAGCUGGUCAGUGGAGGAUUUUGUACUAGCACCCUAACAGUAGUGUAGCAGGAAAUACUUGAUGUGGAAGCGGUUUGCAGCAGUGAAGGAUUAGGCUAAGAUAAAAGGCAGAUGUGCUCAGAUUGCCUCCUGAGAGCAUCUUCACUUAGCUAGAAUUCACUGUAUGACCAAAAAAAUCAGAGAAGUUAAUUGCAGUUUUUCAAUAUUAAAUCUUUAUUAUAUACAAAAAUAUUUUGUUGGGAAUUAACAGAAUUUCACAAUUUUUACAUUAAUAUUUUUAUGCUUGGCUGUGUUUAUUGUGAAAAAUAUUAGCUGUGAAAAAGACAAUGGGGGUUUUAAAAAACAAGUUACAAUUUAAAAAUGUCCUACGUAUUAGCUGACUUUAUUAAUGUCAAGUCAGAAUGCUAACAAGUCCCAUCUAGGCCUGCUCUAUAGCAUUGUAUUCAAACAAUUAGGUACUAAAUCAUCUUCAGCUUCACAUUAGAAAUAGUUAAAUUUUCUUUUGUAUGAUAUUUUCAGCUAAUAAAAUGUAUUUUUUACAGGAGAGCAGUUCUUAAAGUUUUACAAGUGUCAAAUCCAGUUUAGUAUUCUGUAGAAGGAAAAAAAACAACAUGCAAAGCUUCCAAUAGGAAAAGAAAAACCCUUGUGAGAACAAGCAAGGUAAAGAAAUGCACAGUGACAGACUUUCAGUACACAUUUAAAGCAAUACACUUACUUAAUCAAGACUUUAUAGUUCUUAGCCCAGUUUGGGGUGAGAGGGAGGUAAACUUCUUGUAUUUUAAAACCUAAGGAGGAGGUUCCCCCUUCUAUCAGAAUACUCAAGUGUUACAAACAGGUAAUGUAUAAUGCAGGACUCGGGGAGGGAAAGCUCAACAUGCAUUUUUAAAGGGGAAGAAAUCCUUUUCAGCAGUUCUCUCCAUAUGUAAUUGUGUACAAGACCUAAACCAACAAAAAUCAGUCAAAAAAAGAAAAAAAAGCCCAAUUUUGACAGCUGACAAUUUUGCUGCCACUCCCAGAACUGCGCAAAGCACUAUCAUUAGUUUUGUUCUAUAGUAUGUAAUGUAUAAGAUAUCAAAUAACUGAGAAUUUAUUUGGGUUUUUGGAAGAGAUUUUACUGUAUUCUAGGUAAAUGUUAGCUACUUACGAAGCGAUGACUUGGAUCAGCUGUGAAGACAGCCAGACUUGCAUGGACAAGCAUUAGUGUGGAGCUGAUGACAUCAAAAGGAAAAGCGUAAGUGGGAGAAAGUGUCUCCAAGACUACUUCAACCAUUUUAGCCUUGCAGCUUGGUCAUAUUCCACAUCUAACCACUGCAUUAGCAGCAAAAGAAAAUCUAUACCUAACUAGCAGGAGAAAGGGUUAAAGAUAUUGAAAACAAAAUUCACAUUUACUUUAAAUGCAAUGUAUCCUAUAAAAUAUAAAUAUUACUGAAAUGCUCCUUAAAGAAAAAAAAAAAGUUUGGAUGUGAAACUGCUUAACAGCCUUUACCAAGCUGGAAUUUUUGUUUGUAAGUCUGUGCAGGUCAAUUCCAGCUUCAGUGCCAGUAAAUGAAGUAAGAAUUCAGCAGUUCAACAAGUGACAGUUUGUGGAAUAGUAUCCCACUGUGGUCCAAAAUGAAGAGUUCAAGUAAGUUAACAGACACUGUUUUGAAUUUCUUGCAGUAUAUUAACCCUAAGACUAAUUUAUCUAUCUACAUAGCUCUACAUGUCUGUGUGAGUGCACUUUGAAUAUAUUUGGAAGCCAAAGCUGCCUCUUAAUACUUGUUACAAGUGUUUUUAAUGUAUUAGGAUCAUUUCUUUAGUGUUGGGACUGCAAGCACUAAGUUACACCACUCUUAAAUACCGGUGUCCCUAUUGAACACUAUUACCUCUACAAGACAAGUUGGGAAUCCCAAACAAUUCACAUCAGUAAGGUUCUUUAAAAUGUGAAAACUGAAGGGCGGGGUUGGGUAUUGUUUGGGGAAGGGGGGCAGGACUUCAUUUCACCCCCUUCAAUAAUGACAGUCUGCCAGAGAAAGCAAAUGAAAGUACCUUAACUAAAGAAAUCCCAAGAUUACUGACAGCUAGAGAGAGAUUUAAGGCAAGAGGUCUAGCAGACUAGAAGUCCUCACGUCAACUAACCACUACCUAAACACGGAUAAACUGAUCUCUAACACUGUUGCAGAAGUAGUAUCAUUAAGUUUGGCAAUGACACAGUGCUUUAACGCUUCAGAACUUGGCUGAGGCAAGAAACCCUGCAUGAAGUAAAUAAUCCUUAUCUGUUUGCAUGAUAGAUGUGACAGACUUCCACUUGUAACUGGUCUUAAAGCUGUACCUGCAGGCACAACAAGCAGCUGGGAAGCUAUCGCAGUAGGCACUAUAGAUGCUUUGAGAAGUGGCAUCUGCCUCAGCCUUCAGUCAGAAUGAAGAUGAUAGAUGAAGACUGGAUGGAAAACCAAGGAAAAGGAACUGGCUAGGAAUAAGCCCCGCACUUCCUCCUUCUUUGACAUGACUAGCCUGGAAAAGAAUAAAAUCAAAGGUAACUUGUGAGAAGCAUUUUUCUCAUGUCGUGUUGAUGACUACUUUCACACUGCCAGUUUCUCAAUGCAGUUCCUGCAAUUCUUUUGGAUUGUUUCCAACUUCAUGGCCAUUCACCUCUUUAAUAAUGUCACCUACAUGCAGAAGACCUUGUCGAUCUAUCAUUCCGCCAUGGAGAAUUCGUGCUAUUACCAGAUCAUUGUUCUCAACUCUAAACGUAACACCCUGAAAGAGAUCCCUUCUUGCGGAAUUUGGAAUAUGUCUCCCUGGAACAAAUGAGGCAGAAAAGAUAGCAAUUCUGUAGUAAUUAGUUAUUUUUCUAUUUCCUCUUUAAAGAAGGAGACAUAGAGUCUCCCCAAGACUCAAAAAGAGAAUUAUAUCCACAUUCUGGACUGCAAAUUUUCUUAGAAGUUCUUCUAGAGUGGUCAUUA
Molecule: long non-coding RNA, 3604 nt
Organism: Cygnus atratus (black swan)
Lineage: Eukaryota; Metazoa; Chordata; Aves; Anseriformes; Anatidae
Exons: 4
Source: RefSeq, a predicted model, not a curated record